GCCUUAGUAGUAUAAAAAGUACAUUGGUCUUGUAAGCCAAAAAUGGAGUAACACCCUCCCUAAGGCA
Molecule: transfer RNA, 67 nt
Filed under: Pattonomys punctatus (Orinocan speckled tree-rat)
Lineage: Eukaryota; Metazoa; Chordata; Mammalia; Rodentia; Echimyidae
Description: tRNA-Thr
Rfam family: tRNA
About the family: Transfer RNA (tRNA) molecules are approximately 80 nucleotides in length. Their secondary structure includes four short double-helical elements and three loops (D, anti-codon, and T loops). Further hydrogen bonds mediate the characteristic L-shaped molecular structure. tRNAs have two regions of fundamental functional importance: the anti-codon, which is responsible for specific mRNA codon recognition, and the 3' end, to which the tRNAs corresponding amino acid is attached (by aminoacyl-tRNA synthetases). tRNAs cope with the degeneracy of the genetic code in two manners: having more than one tRNA (with a specific anti-codon) for a particular amino acid; and 'wobble' base-pairing, i.e. permitting non-standard base-pairing at the 3rd anti-codon position.
Source: RNAcentral